RNAcentral lists this ribosomal RNA (117 nucleotides) under Candidatus Symbiothrix sp. RNAcentral's name for it is "partial 23S ribosomal RNA". It matches the Rfam family "Bacterial large subunit ribosomal RNA", at positions 2798 to 2925 of the family's 2925-position model. Lineage: Bacteria; Pseudomonadati; Bacteroidota; Bacteroidia; Bacteroidales. The record is from RNAcentral.
CUCAAGAUGAGAUAUCCUUCAUGAAGGGUCGUCAUAGACGAUGACGUCGAUAGGCUGCAGGUGUAAAGGUGGCAACAUCAUAGCCGAGCAGUACUAAUUACCCGAAUAAUUGUCUUG